This 274-nucleotide ribosomal RNA is filed under the name uncultured bacterium. RNAcentral's name for it is "partial 16S ribosomal RNA". It matches the Rfam family "Bacterial small subunit ribosomal RNA", at positions 523 to 796 of the family's 1533-position model. The record is from RNAcentral.
AUACGGAGGGGGCUAGCGUUGUUCGGAAUUACUGGGCGUAAAGCGUACGUAGGCGGACUGAUCAGUUGGGGGUGAAAUCCCAGGGCUUAACCCUGGAACUGCCUUCAAUACUGUCAGUCUUGAGUAUGGGAGAGGUGAGUGGAAUUCCUAGUGUAGAGGCGAAAUUCAUAGAUAUUAGGAGGAACACCAGUGGCGAAGGCGGCUCACUGGCCCAUUACUGACGCUGAGGUACGAAAGCGUGGGGAGCAAACAGGAUUAGAAACCCUAGUAGUCC